UUUAAAAGCACUUUGAAAAGAGGGUGAAAAGAACCUGAAACCGUUACGUGGAGAGCGUAUUGCAGCAGAGUGAAGGGUGCGUUCUGGUCACCCCGGUUUUUUUCUGGGCGUAUUCAGAACGUUACUCGCCAGUCGUGAGCUUCUGGUGGCCGAUGUUGGGCUGCUGGGGGUGGAGGGCUCCCUUUCGAGGUGAGGACGAGCUGGAUAAUACUGCGAUUCGACCCGUCUUGAAACACGGACCAAGGAGUCUAGCGUAUCUGCGAGUCAAAGGGUGGUGAAACCUGAGGGCGCAGUGAAAGCGACUGUAAAACGUUUGCAGUUUGAGGCGGCAUACGAUCGUUGAUUGUAGGUCCGUCCUAGAGCAAAUAUGCUAGGACCCGAAAGAUGGUGAACUAUGCCUGAGUAGGGUGAAGCCAGGAGAAAUUCUGGUGGAAGCUCGUAGCGGUGCUGACGUGCAAAUCGCUCGUCUAACUUGGGUAUAGGGGCGAAAGACUAAUCGAACUAUCUGGUAGCUGGUUUCCUCCGAAGUUUCUCUCAGGAUAGCGGACCGAUAUGGUGUUGUUGUGUGC
This 569-nucleotide ribosomal RNA is filed under the name Rhodomela lycopodioides. RNAcentral's name for it is "eukaryotic LSU rRNA". It matches the Rfam family "Eukaryotic large subunit ribosomal RNA", at positions 364 to 1006 of the family's 3401-position model. The record is from RNAcentral. Lineage: Eukaryota; Rhodophyta; Florideophyceae; Ceramiales; Rhodomelaceae.